Molecule: small RNA, 88 nt
Filed under: Pseudolactococcus raffinolactis
Lineage: Bacteria; Bacillati; Bacillota; Bacilli; Lactobacillales; Streptococcaceae
Also listed under: 1 other name
Description: RNA anti-toxin A
Rfam family: RNA anti-toxin A
Source: RNAcentral
UAAUGAAAGUAUAAAAAGAGCAUGUGCUGAUUACACAUGCUCCCAGUAGAACCGUUUAAGACGGUAGCUGUUAAUUAGUUAAAAAUAA